Molecule: unclassified non-coding RNA, 281 nt
Filed under: rhizosphere metagenome
Description: partial ribosomal RNA internal transcribed spacer region
Source: RNAcentral
GUAGGUGAACCUGCGGAAGGAUCAUUAUUGAAAUAAAUCUGAGCAGGCUGUUGCUGGUCUUUUGACAGGUGCACGCUUGUCCUCUUUAUUUUUCCAACUGUGCACAUAUUGUAGAUCUGGAGUUUUUUUUAUUGCUUCAAAUAGAUUGAGGAGUUGCUGCAAAGUCAGCUUCACCUUGUAUUUUCCAGGUCUAUGCUUACACAUUUUCACAAUGUUAUAGAAUGUAUUGAGUAUUUUGGAUAACAAAUAUACAACUUUCAGCAACGGAUCUCUUGGCUCUC